RNAcentral lists this ribosomal RNA (148 nucleotides) under Thauera aminoaromatica. Its description in RNAcentral is "partial 16S ribosomal RNA". It matches the Rfam family "Bacterial small subunit ribosomal RNA", at positions 334 to 475 of the family's 1533-position model. Lineage: Bacteria; Pseudomonadati; Pseudomonadota; Betaproteobacteria; Rhodocyclales; Zoogloeaceae. The record is from RNAcentral.
UACUCUUUCGGGAGGCAGCAGUGGGUAAUUUUGGACAAUGGGGGGAACCCUGAUCCAGCCAUGCCGCGUGAGUGAAGAAGGCCUUCGGGUUGUAAAGCUCUUUCGGCCGGGAAGAAAUCGCGCACUCUAACAUAGUGCGUGAUGACGA